This 440-nucleotide ribosomal RNA is filed under the name uncultured bacterium. RNAcentral's name for it is "bacterial SSU rRNA". It matches the Rfam family "Bacterial small subunit ribosomal RNA", at positions 37 to 524 of the family's 1533-position model. The record is from RNAcentral.
UGGCGGCAUGCCUACACAUGNCAGUCGAACGAGACCUUCGGGUCUAGUGGCGCACGGGUGCGUAACGCGUGGGAAUCUGCCCUUGGGUUCGGAAUAACAGUUGGAAACGACUGCUAAUACCGGAUGAUGACUUCGGUCCAAAGAUUUAUCGCCCAGGGAUGAGCCCGCGUAGGAUUAGCUUGUUGAUGAGGUAAAAGCUCACCAAGGCGACGAUCCUUAGCUGGUCUGAGAGGAUGAUCAGCCACACUGGGACUGAGACACGGCCCAGACUCCUACGGGAGGCAGCAGUGGGGAAUAUUGGACAAUGGGCGAAAGCCUGAUCCAGCAAUGCCGCGUGAGUGAUGAAGGCCUUAGGGUUGUAAAGCUCUUUUACCCGGGAUGAUAAUGACAGUACCGGGAGAAUAAGCCCCGGCUAACUCCGUGCCAGCAGCCGCGGUAAU